Molecule: transfer RNA, 74 nt
Filed under: Coprococcus sp. CAG:131-related_45_246
Lineage: Bacteria; Bacillati; Bacillota; Clostridia; Lachnospirales; Lachnospiraceae
Description: tRNA-Asp
Rfam family: tRNA
About the family: Transfer RNA (tRNA) molecules are approximately 80 nucleotides in length. Their secondary structure includes four short double-helical elements and three loops (D, anti-codon, and T loops).
Source: RNAcentral
GGCCUGGUGGCUCAGUUGGUUAGAGCGCCGCCCUGUCACGGCGGAGGUCGUGGGUUCGAACCCCAUCCGGGUCG